Molecule: non-coding RNA, 30 nt
Filed under: Homo sapiens (human)
Lineage: Eukaryota; Metazoa; Chordata; Mammalia; Primates; Hominidae
Source: RNAcentral
UCCUCUUCAGAGUGUGGAUGGUAGAUGAGU